AUGCAUCUUGACUCCACGACUUGUGUCCUAUGCAAUGAUGAAGAUAUGGAAGACAUGACUCAUCUACUCUUCACUUGCCCAUUUAGCCAAGAAUUUUGGUGGAACAUUGGUCUUGAAUGGAACUCUGAUCUGGACCUCCAUAAUAUGAUUAUUGAUGCUCAAAUAGAUACAAAAUUAGCCAUUUUUAUGGAAAUCAUGAUAUUGGGAUGCUGGAGCAUCUGGAAUCAAAGAAAUGGGAAGAUUUUUGAAGGAAUACCCUGCUCAGUAAAUGAAUGCGAGCAUGACUUUAUCAGAACUUUCAAAUUAACCAUGUUGGGAGCUAGACCGACUUUGAAGGAGGGCAUGUAUUCUUGGAUAGACAACAUUUAA
Molecule: ribosomal RNA, 369 nt
Filed under: Triticum aestivum (bread wheat)
Lineage: Eukaryota; Viridiplantae; Streptophyta; Magnoliopsida; Poales; Poaceae
Description: partial small subunit ribosomal RNA
Source: RNAcentral